UGACUACAGGGGUAUCUAAUCCCUUUCGCUACCCUAGCUUUCGUCCCUGAGUGUCAGUUUUGGUCCAGUAGCACGCCUUCGCCACCGAUGUUCUUCCAAAUAUCUACGCAUUUCACCGCUACACUGGGAAUUCCCGCUACCCCUACCGAACUCUAGUCUCUCAGUUUCCACCGCCUGCCCAGAGUUAAGCUCUGGUCUUUGACAGCAGGCUUGAAAGACCACCUGCGGACGCUUUACGCCCAAUAAUUCCGGAUAACGCUUGCAUCCUCCGUAUUACCG
Molecule: ribosomal RNA, 279 nt
Filed under: unidentified cyanobacterium CL1.2_1
Lineage: Bacteria; Bacillati; Cyanobacteriota; Cyanophyceae; Chroococcales
Description: partial 16S ribosomal RNA
Source: RNAcentral